UACGGGGGGGGCAAGCGUUGUUCGGAAUUACUGGGCGUAAAGGGCUCGUAGGCGGCCAACUAAGUCGGACGUGAAAUCCCUCGGCUUAACCGGGGAACCGCGUCUGAUACUGGAUGGCUUGAAUCCGGGAGAGGGAUGCGGAAUUCCAGGUGUAGCGGUGAAAUGCGUAGAUAUCUGGAGGAACACCGGUGGCGAAGGCGGCAUCCUGGACCGGCAUUGACGCUGAGGAGCGAAAGCCAGGGGAGCAAACGGG
RNAcentral lists this ribosomal RNA (253 nucleotides) under uncultured bacterium. RNAcentral describes it as "partial 16S ribosomal RNA". It matches the Rfam family "Bacterial small subunit ribosomal RNA", at positions 524 to 776 of the family's 1533-position model. The record is from RNAcentral.